AUGGCGUCGUCGGAUUCUCCGCCGCCGGGGAAGCCCCCUCUGCCGUGGCGGGUGCGCCUGCUCGUGGGCGCAGCCUCAUUCCUACACUCCGCGUCCCUCCGCGCCGACGGCACCGUCAACCGCUCCCUCCUCUCCCUGUUCGAACGCACCGUCCCUCCUAGCUCCGCGCCCGAUGCCGCCGGCGUUUCGUCCACCGACCACGCCGUCCUCAGCCACCUCCGCGUCCGCCUGUUCGUUCCAGCGCCCGCCGCUAGCGGCAGCCAGAGCCAGCUGCCAGUGGUUGUAUAUUUCCACGGCGGCGGCUUCGUGUUCCACUCCGUGGCGACGGCCCAGUUCGACGCUCUGUGCCGCCGCCUCGCCGCGUCUAUCCCGGCCGUCGUCGCCUCCGUGGACUACCGCCUCGCGCCCGAGCACCGCGCCCCUUCCGCUUACGACGACGGGGAGGCGGCGCUCCGCUGGGCACUCGCCGGCGCCGGGGGCGCCUUGCCGUCUCCCCCCACCGCCGUCUUUGUCGCCGGGGAUAGCGCGGGCGGCAACGUCGCCCACCACGUCGCCGCGCGCCUGCAGGGCAGCGUGGCCGGGCUGGUCCUGCUGCAGCCGUUCUUCGGCGGCGAGGCGGCGACCGCGUCCGAGCAGCGGCUCCGCCACGCGCCGUUCGGGGCGCCGGAGCGGCUGGCGUGGCUGUGGCGCGCGUUCCUGCCGCCGGGCGCCACGCGGGACCACGAGUCGGCCAACGUGCCGGCCGCGAUCCAGCGCGACGGUGCCGCCGCGGGGAGGUGGCGCGCGUUCCCGCCGACGCUGGUGUGCGUGGGCGGGUGGGACGUGCACCAGGACAGGCAAAGGGCGUACGCGCACGCGCUGCGAGCCGCCGGCGCCGAGGAGGUCCGUGUCGCGGAGUUCCCCGACGCCAUCCACGCGUUCUACGUGUUCGACGGCUUCCCGGACAGCCAGAGGCUGCUGGCCGACGUGGCCGAGUUCGUGAACCGGCGGGCUGCCGAACACCUCGACGCGCCAGUGAACGACCAGUGUCCACUGUCCACUGGUUCGUAG
Molecule: ribosomal RNA, 1050 nt
Filed under: Triticum aestivum (bread wheat)
Lineage: Eukaryota; Viridiplantae; Streptophyta; Magnoliopsida; Poales; Poaceae
Description: partial small subunit ribosomal RNA
Source: RNAcentral